GACGGAAGGUGCAAGCGUUGAUCGGAAUCACUGGGCGUAAAGGGUGCGUAGGCGGCUUGGUAAGUUGGGUGUGAAAGCCCCGGGCUCAGCCCGGGAAGGGCACUCGAAACUGCCGAGCUGGAGUGCCGGAGGGGAGAGUGGAAUUCCUGGUGUAGCGGUGAAAUGCGUAGAUAUCAGGAGGAAUACCGGUGGCGAAAGCGACUCUCUGGACGGCAACUGACGCUGAGGCACGAAAGCGUGGGGAGCAAGCAGG
RNAcentral lists this ribosomal RNA (253 nucleotides) under uncultured bacterium. RNAcentral's name for it is "partial 16S ribosomal RNA". It matches the Rfam family "Bacterial small subunit ribosomal RNA", at positions 524 to 776 of the family's 1533-position model. The record is from RNAcentral.